GACGAACGCUGGCGGCGUGCCUAAUACAUGCAAGUAGAACGCUGAAGGAGGAGCUUGCUCUUCUGGAUGAGUUGCGAACGGGUGAGUAACGCGUAGGUAACCUGCCUGGUAGCGGGGGAUAACUAUUGGAAACGAUAGCUAAUACCGCAUAAGAGUAGAUGUUGCAUGACAUUUACUUAAAAGGUGCAAUUGCAUCGCUACCAGAUGGACCUGCGUUGUAUUAGCUAGUUGGUGGGGUAACGGCUUACCAAGGCGACGAUACAUAGCCGACCUGAGAGGGUGAUCGGCCACACUGGGACUGAGACACGGCCCAGACUCCUACGGGAGGCAGCAGUAGGGAAUCUUCGGCAAUGGACGGAAGUCUGACCGAGCAACGCCGCGUGAGUGAAGAAGGUUUUCGGAUCGUAAAGCUCUGUUGUAAGAGAAGAACGAGUGUGAGAGUGGAAAGUUCACACUGUGACGGUAUCUUACCAGAAAGGGACGGCUAACUACGUG
RNAcentral lists this ribosomal RNA (495 nucleotides) under uncultured bacterium. RNAcentral's name for it is "partial 16S ribosomal RNA". It matches the Rfam family "Bacterial small subunit ribosomal RNA", at positions 28 to 507 of the family's 1533-position model. The record is from RNAcentral.